Molecule: unclassified non-coding RNA, 148 nt
Organism: Macaca mulatta (Rhesus monkey)
Lineage: Eukaryota; Metazoa; Chordata; Mammalia; Primates; Cercopithecidae
Rfam family: Metazoan signal recognition particle RNA
About the family: The signal recognition particle (SRP) is a universally conserved ribonucleoprotein.
Source: Ensembl
GCCGGGCGUGGUGGCAGGCGCCUGUAAUCCCAGCUACUUGGGAGGCUGAGGCAGGAGAAUUGCUUGAACCCAGGAGACAGAGGUUGCAGUGAGCUGAGAUCGCGCCACUGCAGUCCAGCCUGGGUGACAGAGCAAGACUCCGUCUCAA